This 476-nucleotide ribosomal RNA is filed under the name Bacillus sp. (in: firmicutes). Its description in RNAcentral is "bacterial SSU rRNA". It matches the Rfam family "Bacterial small subunit ribosomal RNA", at positions 19 to 486 of the family's 1533-position model. The record is from RNAcentral. Lineage: Bacteria; Bacillati; Bacillota; Bacilli; Caryophanales; Bacillaceae.
AUGGCUCAGGAUGAACGCUGGCGGCGUGCCUAAUACAUGCAAGUCGAGCGAAUGGAUUGAGAGCUUGCUCUCAAGAAGUUAGCGGCGGACGGGUGAGUAACACGUGGGUAACCUGCCCAUAAGACUGGGAUAACUCCGGGAAACCGGGGCUAAUACCGGAUAACAUUUUGAACCGCAUGGUUCGAAAUUGAAAGGCGGCUUCGGCUGUCACUUAUGGAUGGACCCGCGUCGCAUUAGCUAGUUGGUGAGGUAACGGCUCACCAAGGCAACGAUGCGUAGCCGACCUGAGAGGGUGAUCGGCCACACUGGGACUGAGACACGGCCCAGACUCCUACGGGAGGCAGCAGUAGGGAAUCUUCCGCAAUGGACGAAAGUCUGACGGAGCAACGCCGCGUGAGUGAUGAAGGCUUUCGGGUCGUAAAACUCUGUUGUUAGGGAAGAACAAGUGCUAGUUGAAUAAGCUGGCACCUGACGUA